Long non-coding RNA from Dermacentor andersoni, 433 nucleotides. RefSeq lists it as uncharacterized. The record is from RefSeq and is a predicted model, not a curated record. NCBI's taxonomy places the organism in Eukaryota, Metazoa, Arthropoda, Arachnida, Ixodida, Ixodidae.
CUGCGGAGCAAAGGUUGUGCGAUCGUUCGCGACCUGCGAUUUUUACAGGUGGCUUGAUUUCAAAGGAGCCAAUCAACAGCCAGUGCUUUUUGGAAAUCACCAUUGUCUAAUUACUGGAAGUUACAGUGGAGGCGGCCGUCAGACAUUCUGCACAAUGUGGAUCUCUGAAGUGUUACUUGAAAGUGUACCCGACUACUGCAAAUUCAUUAUGGUAACACUAUGUGGAGACAAAGCCUAUAACGCUUAUCUAGCUGAACGGUUUUUCUGCAGCUUCCUUGAAAAGAAUCCAGGAAGCAUUUCCGGAUAAAUCACCAAGCAGGUGUUGAAGAUGACGGCUAUGUUCACUACAGAUUUAACGAGUGAUGAAAGAAAUCUUAUCUACAUAUUCUCAGUGCAAGAAAUGUACGUCUUGAAGAGCGCAUUUCUUUUAAUA